GUCUCAGGCCGUAUCAGCCUGAAGGCGCCCGAUCUCGUCUGAUCUCGGAAGCUAAGCAGGGUCGGGCCUGGUGUGGAUCUUGGAUGGGAGACCACCUGGGAAUCCCGGGUGCUCGAGGCU
Ribosomal RNA from Bison bison bison, 120 nucleotides. The record is from Ensembl. Lineage: Eukaryota; Metazoa; Chordata; Mammalia; Artiodactyla; Bovidae.